GGCACGGUGGCAUAGUGGUUCGCACUAUUUUCUCACAGCAAAAGGUCGUGGGUUCGAUUCCGGCCUGGGGCC
Non-coding RNA from Gymnothorax javanicus (giant moray), 72 nucleotides. NCBI's taxonomy places the organism in Eukaryota, Metazoa, Chordata, Actinopteri, Anguilliformes, Muraenidae. The record is from the annotation of a GenBank genome assembly.